GUUUAACACUGCAAGUCGAACGGAAACGAAAAUAGCUUGCUAUUUGGCGUCGAGUGGCGAACGGGUGAGUAACGCGUAGGAAUCUACCCAGUAGAGGGGGAUAGCCCGAAGAAAUUCGGAUUAAUACCGCAUAAUCUCUACGGAGUAAAGAAGGCCUCUUUACAAUGCUUUUACUAUUGGAUGAGCCUGCGUUAGAUUAGUUAGUUGGUAGGGUAAAAGCCUACCAAGGCGACGAUCUAUAGCUGGUUUUACGAGAAUGAUCAGCCACACUGGAACUGAGACACAGUCCAGACUCCUACGGGAGGCAGCAGUGAAGAAUAUUGGACAAUGGGGGAAACCCUGAUCCAGCAAUGUUGCGUGUGUGAAGAAGGUCCGAGGAUUGUAAAGCACUUUCAGUAAGCAAGAAAAAUGUAAAUCUAAUAGAUUUGCAUGUUGACCACUUAUAGAAGAAGCACCGGCUAACUCCGUGCCAGCAGCCGCGGUAAUACGGAAGGUGCGAGCGUUAAUCGGAAUUUACUGGGCGUAAGGGUAAGUANGCGGUU
This 542-nucleotide ribosomal RNA is filed under the name uncultured bacterium. RNAcentral describes it as "bacterial SSU rRNA". It matches the Rfam family "Bacterial small subunit ribosomal RNA", at positions 46 to 580 of the family's 1533-position model. The record is from RNAcentral.